UACGUAGGGUGCAAGCGUUAAUCGGAAUUACUGGGCGUAAAGCGUGCGCAGGCGGUUUUGUAAGUUUGUCGUGAAAGCCCCGGGCUCAACCUGGGAAUUGCGAUGAAGACUGCAAGGCUUGAAUCUGGCAGAGGGGGGUAGAAUUCCACGUGUAGCAGUGAAAUGCGUAGAGAUGUGGAGGAACACCGAUGGCGAAGGCAGCCCCCUGGGUCAAGAUUGACGCUCAUGCACGAAAGCUAGGGGAGCAAACAGG
RNAcentral lists this ribosomal RNA (253 nucleotides) under uncultured bacterium. RNAcentral's name for it is "partial 16S ribosomal RNA". It matches the Rfam family "Bacterial small subunit ribosomal RNA", at positions 524 to 776 of the family's 1533-position model. The record is from RNAcentral.